CACUGCCCGUCAAGCCAUGGAAGCUGUUUCUACCUGAAUAGGCUGAGCUAACCGCAAGGAGGCAGGCCUACACGGUAGGAGGAGUGACUGGGGUU
RNAcentral lists this ribosomal RNA (95 nucleotides) under uncultured bacterium. Its description in RNAcentral is "partial 16S ribosomal RNA". It matches the Rfam family "Bacterial small subunit ribosomal RNA", at positions 1388 to 1482 of the family's 1533-position model. The record is from RNAcentral.